RNAcentral lists this ribosomal RNA (450 nucleotides) under uncultured Glomus. RNAcentral describes it as "SSU rRNA". It matches the Rfam family "Eukaryotic small subunit ribosomal RNA", at positions 569 to 1023 of the family's 1831-position model. RNAcentral also lists the same sequence under 1 other name. The record is from RNAcentral. Lineage: Eukaryota; Fungi; Glomeromycota; Glomeromycetes; Glomerales; Glomeraceae.
AGCAGCCGCGGUAAUUCCAGCUCCAAUAGCGUAUAUUAAAGUUGUUGCAGUUAAAAAGCUCGUAGUUGAAUUUCGGGGUCAGUAGGUUGGUCGUGCCACCGGUACGUACUGGUCUCACUGAUUCCUCCUUCCUGAUGAGCUGUAAUGCCAUUAAUUUGGUGUUGCAGGGAAUCUGGACUGUUACUUUGAAAAAAUUAGAGUGUUUAAAGCAGGCUAACGCUUGAAUACAUUAGCAUGGAAUAAUGAAAUAGGACGUUCGAUCCUAUUUUGUUGGUUUCUAGGAUUGACGUAAUGAUUAAUAGGGAUAGUUGGGGGCAUUAGUAUUCAAUUGUCAGAGGUGAAAUUCUUGGAUUUAUUGAAGACUAACUACUGCGAAAGCAUUUGCCAAGGAUGUUUUCAUUAAUCAAGAACGAAAGUUAGGGGAUCGAAGACGAUCAGAUACCGUCGUAG